GACGAACGCUGGCGGCGUGCUUAACACAUGCAAGUCGAACGGAAAGGCCCUGCUUUUGUGGGGUGCUCGAGUGGCGAACGGGUGAGUAACACGUGAGUAACCUGCCCUUGACUUUGGGAUAACUUCAGGAAACUGGGGCUAAUACCGGAUAGGAGCUCCUGCUGCAUGUUGGGGGUUGGAAAGUUUCGGCGUUUGGGGAUGGUCUCGCGGCUUAUCAGCUUGUUGGUGGGGUAGUGGCUUACAAGGUCUUUGACGGGUAGCCGGCCUGAGAGGGUGACCGGCCACAUUGGGACUGAGAUACGGACCAGACUCCUACGGGAGGCAGCAGUGGGGAAUAUUGCACAAUGGGCGGAAGCCUGAUGCAGCAACGCCGCGUGCGGGAUGACGGCCUUCGGGUUGUAAACCGCUUUCGCCUGUGACGAAGCGUGAGUGACGGUAAUGGGUAAAGAAGCACCGGCUAACUACGUG
Molecule: ribosomal RNA, 468 nt
Filed under: uncultured bacterium
Lineage: Bacteria
Description: partial 16S ribosomal RNA
Rfam family: Bacterial small subunit ribosomal RNA
Source: RNAcentral